RNAcentral lists this ribosomal RNA (450 nucleotides) under uncultured bacterium. RNAcentral's name for it is "bacterial SSU rRNA". It matches the Rfam family "Bacterial small subunit ribosomal RNA", at positions 29 to 524 of the family's 1533-position model. The record is from RNAcentral.
AACGAACGCUGGCGGCAUGCCUAACACAUGCAAGUCGAACGAAGUCUUCGGACUUAGUGGCGCACGGGUGCGUAACGCGUGGGAACCUGCCCUUGGGUGCGGAAUAACUUCUCGAAAGGGAUGCUAAUACCGCAUAAUGUCGUAAGACCAAAGAUUUAUCGCCCAAGGAUGAGCCCGCGUAAGAUUAGCUAGUUGGUGGGGUAAAAGCCUACCAAGGCGACGAUCUUUAGCUGGUCUGAGAGGAUGAUCAGCCACACUGGGACUGAGACACGGCCCAGACUCCUACGGGAGGCAGCAGUGGGGAAUAUUGGACAAUGGGCGAAAGCCUGAUCCAGCAAUGCCGCGUGAGUGAUGAAGGCCCUAGGGUUGUAAAGCUCUUUUACCAGGGAUGAUAAUGACAGUACCUGGAGAAUAAGCUCCGGCUAACUCCGUGCCAGCAGCCGCGGUAAU